GACACUUUGGCCGAGUGGUUAAGGCGCAGGUCUGCUAUUUGGCUAGCUUCCUAGCUAUAGCUAAUCUGUCUCUUUGGAGGCGUGAGUUCGAAUCUCACAGGUGUCG
Aspergillus ruber CBS 135680 is the source of this 106-nucleotide transfer RNA. It matches the Rfam family "tRNA". Rfam says of the family: Transfer RNA (tRNA) molecules are approximately 80 nucleotides in length. NCBI's taxonomy places the organism in Eukaryota, Fungi, Ascomycota, Eurotiomycetes, Eurotiales, Aspergillaceae. The record is from Rfam.